GACUGGUCCGAGUGCAGUGGUGUUUACAACUAACUGAUCACAACCAGGUAGAUUUCUUUGCUCCUUCUCUACUCGCACUGCUUCAUCUGACUAGCCGGAA
Molecule: Y RNA, 100 nt
Filed under: Piliocolobus tephrosceles (Ugandan red Colobus)
Lineage: Eukaryota; Metazoa; Chordata; Mammalia; Primates; Cercopithecidae
Description: Y RNA (ENSPTEG00000000263.1)
Rfam family: Y RNA
About the family: Y RNAs are components of the Ro ribonucleoprotein particle (Ro RNP), in association with Ro60 and La proteins. The Y RNAs and Ro60 and La proteins are well conserved, but the function of the Ro RNP is not known.
Source: Rfam by way of RNAcentral